This 253-nucleotide ribosomal RNA is filed under the name uncultured bacterium. RNAcentral describes it as "partial 16S ribosomal RNA". It matches the Rfam family "Bacterial small subunit ribosomal RNA", at positions 524 to 776 of the family's 1533-position model. The record is from RNAcentral.
UACGUAGGCAGCGAGCGUUGUUCGGAUUUACUGGGCGUAAAGCGUGCGUAGACGGUUACCUAAGUCGGGUGUGAAAGCCCCGGGCUCAACCUGGGAACUGCGUCUGAUACUGGACGGCUUGAGUAUGGGAGAGGAACGUAGAAUUCCAGGUGUAGCGGUGAAAUGCGUAGAUAUCUGGAGGAAUACCGGUGGCGAAGGCGGCGUUCUGGACCAUUACUGACACUGAAUCGCGAAAGCUAGGGGAGCAAACGGG